RNAcentral lists this unclassified non-coding RNA (731 nucleotides) under Hevea brasiliensis (rubber tree). The record is from RNAcentral. Lineage: Eukaryota; Viridiplantae; Streptophyta; Magnoliopsida; Malpighiales; Euphorbiaceae.
CCUUCUUUUGUUGUCCUUCCUCUAGAGCAACCUUCCUCUUCACAUCCUCCUUCAAAGCCCAUAAUUCUUGUCUUGCAGUCUUUAAGGCUUCGAGAUCAUCUUGAAGUUGGAAAGCAGGGGCCCUGAUAACUACUUCUUUGAAAUCACCUUCGGCCAUCAAACCAACCACAUGUUCAAGAGUUCCAGCAACACUUUUCCCAAAAAUGUAGCUGGAGUAGCAGUUCCUGGAGCAACAGCCCGCGAGACACAUUUUCUGUGUUUCUUGUGUACUUUUGCUAAGCAGAGUAUUUACUUCAGCUAUCACAGCAUCCACCCUUGAAAGCCAUCCCCCAACUUGAUCCAGCUGCACUGUUUGUGGUCUUUGCUCAUUGAUGAUCAUGCGCAUCACAUCAUUCCUCAAAUCUCUUAACUGAUCACUCGCAGUGUUAAGAGCUUUAAGAUUAUCUUGAAGCUGGCAUACGUAAAAAGCUUGCCCAGUAAUGCAAUCCCAGCAACGACCAAUCAAGGCAUCACCACAUUGAAUCUGAAACAUGUUACCCAUAGCUUGUGAAAGAAUUGGACACAAGGAAAGUAAGUGGAAAAUGAUGAAUGGAAACCAAAUUACUGAGAGGAACUAAGGGAAGAAAAGGAAGAACAGUUGACAGUAGGAGAAAUGCAGGGGAGAGAGUAAGGUGGAAAGAAUGAUGGAAAAGAAAUAUAAUUUUUGGUCUCUCUUUUGUUUUUCCAUCUUU